UGUCGUAGCUAACGCAUUAAGCGCCCCGCCUGGGGAGUACGGCCGCAAGGCUAAAACUCAAAGGAAUUGACGGGGGCCCGCACAAGCGGCGGAGCAUGCGGAUUAAUUCGAUGCAACGCGAAGAACCUUACCAAGGCUUGACAUACACCGGAAACGGCCAGAGAUGGUCGCCCCCUUGUGGUCGGUGUACAGGUGGUGCAUGGUUGUCGUCAGCUCGUGUCGUGAGAUGUUGGGUUAAGUCCCGCAACGAGCGCAACCCUCGUUCUAUGUUGCCAGCGCGUUAUGGCGGGGACUCAUAGGAGACUGCCGGGGUCAACUCGGAGGAAGGUGGGGAUGACGUCAAAUCAUCAUGCCCCUUAUGUCUUGGGCUUCACGCAUGCUACAAUGGCCGGUACAAAGGGCUGCGAUACCGUAAGGUGGAGCGAAUCCCAAAAAGCCGGUCUCAGUUCGGAUUGAGGUCUGCAACUCGACCUCAUGAAGUCGGAGUCGCUAGUAAUCGCAGAUCAGCAACGCUGCGGUGAAUACGUUCCCGGGCCUUGUACACACCGCCCGUCAAGUCAUGAAAGUCGGUAACACCCGAAGCCGGUGGC
RNAcentral lists this ribosomal RNA (590 nucleotides) under bacterium. RNAcentral describes it as "bacterial SSU rRNA". It matches the Rfam family "Bacterial small subunit ribosomal RNA", at positions 844 to 1434 of the family's 1533-position model. The record is from RNAcentral.